This 45-nucleotide non-coding RNA is filed under the name Trichobilharzia regenti. The record is from RNAcentral. Lineage: Eukaryota; Metazoa; Platyhelminthes; Trematoda; Strigeidida; Schistosomatidae.
AUCCAGCUGAGGAGUGCUAAACAGGACGGAAUAUGCAUCCUGGAU